Molecule: RNA transcript, 1926 nt
Organism: Monodelphis domestica (gray short-tailed opossum)
Lineage: Eukaryota; Metazoa; Chordata; Mammalia; Didelphimorphia; Didelphidae
Gene name: protein DDI1 homolog 2-like
Source: RefSeq, a predicted model, not a curated record
CAACAUUCUCACCCUGAGUCUUCACCAACUCCUCGCUCAGUUCCAGGACCCCGGCACAAGGCAAGCUGGGAAGCCUGAGUGAGGCUGCUUGAUUUCAUCUCCCUUGUUGUCCUCACCCUUUCCUUUACAGUUGUCAAUCUUUCGUUGCCCUGGUGGCUCAGCCUGCCUACCAGUGGAGAGGGCUCAGCUGCCCCAGGGCAAAAGCCUGGAGGCAAUGACAGUUGCUCUUUGAAUGCUCAACUGACUGAGGAAAGGGUCCCGUGGGGGGCGCGAGGCCCCACGACCUUCUGGGACACAACCCCUUUGAGGCCAAGCCUGGGAGGCCGGGCAUGCUGCUCACUGUGUACUGCGUGCGGAGGGACUCCACUGAGAUGACCUUUUCCCUCCAGGUUGACCGGGACUUUGAGCUCCACAACUUCCGCGUGCUCUGCGAGCUGGAGUCUGGCAUCCCUGCGGACGAGACGCACAUUGUCUUUGCAGAGAACUCUCUGGAAGAUAACCACAGAUCUUUGGCAUCCUAUGGCCUGAAAGAUGGUGAUGUAGUCAUUUUAAGACAGAAAGCGAAUGAAAGGGCAGGCUCGCCAGGUCAGUUCACAGGGAUAGACUUCAGCAGUAUAGCAGUGCCGGGCCCAUCAGGGACGUCCCGCUCCCCGCACCAGAUGCAGCCUCCCCUUUCUUCGGGAAAUGUGGUGCAGGUCGCAGAAAGUCCAGCAGCACUCCGAGACAUGUUACUUUCCAACCCUCAUGAAUUGGCUGUGCUCAGGGAGCGCAACCCAUCUCUGGCAGAAGCCCUUUUCAGUGGGGAUCUUGAGGAAUUUACUAGGGUCUUGAUAGAACAACAGGAAGACCAAGCGCUCAGAGAUGAGGAGAGGUUUCGACUCUAUGUCGCUGAUCCCUUUGAUCUUGAAGCACAGGCCAAGAUAGAAGAAGCCAUCAGGCAACAGAACAUUGAGGAAAACAUGUCUAUAGCAAUGGAAGAGGCCCCUGAGAGCUUUGGCCAAGUAGUGAUGCUCUAUAUCAACUGCAAAGUGAAUGGACAUCCUGUGAAAGCCUUUGUUGAUACAGGUGCCCAGAUGACUAUUAUGAGCCAAGCUUGUGCAAUACGAUGUAAUAUAUUGAGACUUGUGGACCGAAGGUGGGCAGGGAUUGCUAAAGGGGUUGGGACCCAGAAGAUUAUUGGUAGGGUACAUCUAGCUCAGGUUCAGAUUGAAGGAGAUUUUCUGGCAUGUUCUUUUUCCAUAAUAGAAGAACAGCCCAUGGAUAUGCUACUGGGCUUGGAUAUGCUCAAGCGACAUCAAUGUAACAUUGACCUCAAGAAAAAUGUACUAGUAAUUGGUACAACAGGCACACACACAGCAUUCCUUCCAGAGAGGGAACUCCCAGAAUGUGCAAGAUUGGCAUACGAUCCAGGACAAGAUGAUCUGCGAAUGGAAGAGAAGCUCUACAAAAAGCUUUAGAGAAUUCAAAAUGUCAGAAGCAAAGAUGCUCAUAGGAUUGUCCCUGGAUCCCCAGAAUGAACUUUUCCACUUCUCAAUCCAAAAAUGAAAAAAAGAAAGAAAAGAAAUUUGGUAUAAUUCAGCUCAAUGAGUAAUCUGGUAAAGGGAUUCAGAGGAUGAAACGAGCACACACAGAAUUCGUUCUCAUCCUCACAUUGGAGCUUCUUUCCCAGAUCAGAGUUAUUGUGACUGAUAGAAGGGUAUACAGAAGUUCACUUUACCAAAUCCUUGCGUAACUACCUACAUUGAUCAUUAAGUCAACAAUCUCUAAGUACAAUCUUUAAUUUCCAGUGUCGAAAACCUAAUAUUGAAGAUGUGUCCUAAAUAACUGUGUGGUGUUUACAUGACUAACUAGCACAUAAGCCAAUUUAUUUACGUCUGUAGAAUAUAAGAAUAAAAAUUAUAUUUCACAAAGUAAAUCUUCUCAGAU